Long non-coding RNA from Triticum aestivum (bread wheat), 814 nucleotides. RefSeq lists it as uncharacterized. The transcript is spliced from 4 exons. NCBI's taxonomy places the organism in Eukaryota, Viridiplantae, Streptophyta, Magnoliopsida, Poales, Poaceae. The record is from RefSeq and is a predicted model, not a curated record.
CGGGCUUAUGCCUACUGAACUAUAUUCGAAACUAUCAGAGUGUAUAGCAGAUUAGAGCAGAUUACAGCAGCCUUAAAGAUUGUUGGCCAUUAACGGUUAUCCAUGGCACUAAAACUACUUGAUCUCAAUACAUUCACCUCACAACACUUGUUGGCGAAAACAUGUGCUAUAGCACCAAAGAAGUUGAGGUCAAAUUAAUGAGAUGCCGCAGCAAAGAAAAUGCUCUCAGCCUUGGACGAUCCAUUCACUCGAUUCUUGAAACCAUUACCUUUUCUGAAGCAAGACUAGCUAGCACCCAAGGUGCCCUGGCAGGUGUAGGUUUAUCCAUUGGCUACCCGUUGGAGCAUCACUUGCGGUGCUCUUUGUAAUGUCACUUGGUGGGUUUUGUAGAAAUGACUGUCUAGAGACGUUUUAUCUUGAUAAUUGACAACAUAAGAGUGCAAAAUAUUUGACAGCAGAUCGCUUAUGGUAAGACCUAGCUAUUAUCAAUAAUUUUAGUCCAUUAAAUGCGGUCUUAGUGAAAGGGUGUUCCUUUAUCAUGGUUGAAGGUUGCAUGACUUCUGCUAGGUGUUUUGAUACUUUUCGGUCUCUACUUGAAUGUUGCGUACCUAAUUUUUUAGUGGCCAACAAUCUUGCACUGAUUCUUGCUAGGGGUCAUCAAGGAAACUCAAUAGAUGGCUAUUUCAGUGGAGAUUAUACCAGAGAUGUUGUUUUGAAAGUAUAUGCCAGGAGAGAAAGAUAUACUUGAAACCCGAUGAGGUCAAUGAUGUGGAGAUUUUACCAGAGAUGUUGUUUUCAAGUAAGAUUUUGUGUG